UGGCUCUCCCAUCGAUGAAGAACGCAGCGAAAUGCGAUAAGUAAUGUGAAUUGCAGAAUUCAGUGAAUCAUCGAAUCUUUGAACGCACCUUGCACCCAUUGGUAUUCCGAUGGGUAUGCCUGUUUGAGUGUCAUUAAAUUCUCAACCUAAUAAGCUUUAUUGUCUUGUUAGGCUUGGAUGUGAGGGUUAUUGCUGGCUUCCUUAAGUGUGAUGGUCAGCUCCCUUGAAAUGCAUUAGUGGAAUCCUUUGUGGAACGUUCACAGAGUGUGAUAAUUAUCUAUGCUCCUUGUAUGAAUGUGAAGCAAUACUAUGGAAUCUGCUUAUAACCGUCCUUCAGUUGGACACUUUAAUUGACAAUUUGACCUCAAAUCAGGUAGGACUACCCGCUGA
Molecule: unclassified non-coding RNA, 390 nt
Filed under: uncultured fungus
Lineage: Eukaryota; Fungi
Description: partial contains 5.8S ribosomal RNA and internal transcribed spacer 2
Rfam family: 5.8S ribosomal RNA (bases 1-133)
Source: RNAcentral